CCUACGGGUGGCAGCAGUGGGGAAUAUUGGACAAUGGGCGAAAGCCUGAUCCAGCCAUGCCGCGUGUGUGAAGAAGGCCUUCGGGUUGUAAAGCACUUUCAGUGGGGAAGAAAGCCUUGGGGCUAAUACCCUCGAGGAAGGACAUCACCCACAGAAGAAGCACCGACUAACUCCGUGCCAGCAGCCGCGGUAAUACGGAGGGUGCGAGCGUUAAUCGGAAUUACUGGGCGUAAAGCGCGCGUAGGCGGUCUGAUAAGCCGGUUGUGAAAGCCCCGGGCUCAACCUGGGAACGGCAUCCGGAACUGUCAGGCUAGAGUGCAGGAGAGGAAGGUAGAAUUCCCGGUGUAGCAGUGAAAUGCGUAGAGAUCGGGAGGAAUACCAGUGGCGAAGGCGGCCUUCUGGACUGACACUGACGCUGAGGUGCGAAAGCGUGGGUAGCAAACAGGAUUAGAUACCCCAGUAGUC
This 465-nucleotide ribosomal RNA is filed under the name Vreelandella stevensii. RNAcentral's name for it is "partial 16S ribosomal RNA". It matches the Rfam family "Bacterial small subunit ribosomal RNA", at positions 338 to 795 of the family's 1533-position model. Lineage: Bacteria; Pseudomonadati; Pseudomonadota; Gammaproteobacteria; Oceanospirillales; Halomonadaceae. The record is from RNAcentral.